This 615-nucleotide ribosomal RNA is filed under the name Limosilactobacillus mucosae. RNAcentral describes it as "bacterial SSU rRNA". Lineage: Bacteria; Bacillati; Bacillota; Bacilli; Lactobacillales; Lactobacillaceae. The record is from RNAcentral.
GGGUUUCCGCCCUUCAGUGCCGCAGCUAACGCAUUAAGCWCUCCGCCUGGGGAGUACGACCGCAAGGUUGAAACUCAAAGGAAUUGACGGGGGCCCGCACAAGCGGUGGAGCAUGUGGUUUAAUUYGAAGCUACGCGAAGAACCUUACCAGGUCUUGACAUCUUGCGCCAACCCUAGAGAUAGGGCGUUUCCUUCGGGAACGCAAUGACAGGUGGUGCAUGGUCGUCGUCAGCUCGUGUCGUGAGAUGUUGGGUUAAGUCCCGCAACGAGCGCAACCCUUGUUACUAGUUGCCAGCAUUCAGUUGGGCACUCUAGUGAGACUGCCGGUGACAAACCGGAGGAAGGUGGGGACGACGUCAGAUCAUCAUGCCCCUUAUGACCUGGGCUACACACGUGCUACAAUGGACGGUACAACGAGUCGCGAACUCGCGAGGGCAAGCUAAUCUCUUAAAACCGUUCUCAGUUCGGACUGCUGGCUGCAACUCGCCUGCACGAAGUCGGAAUCGCUAGUAAUCGCGGAUCAGCAUGCCGCGGUGAAUACGUUCCCGGGCCUUGUACACACCGCCCGUCACACCAUGAGAGUUUGCAACACCCAAAGUCGGUGGGGUAACCCUU